This 222-nucleotide ribosomal RNA is filed under the name uncultured bacterium. RNAcentral's name for it is "partial 16S ribosomal RNA". It matches the Rfam family "Bacterial small subunit ribosomal RNA", at positions 16 to 230 of the family's 1533-position model. The record is from RNAcentral.
AUCCUGGCUCAGGAUGAACGCUAGCUACAGGCUUAACACAUGCAAGUCGAGGGGCAGCAUGUUGGUUGCUUGCAACCGAUGAUGGCGACCGGCGCACGGGUGAGUAACGCGUAUCCAACCUACCCCUUGUCCAUCGGAUAACCCGUCGAAAGGCGGCCUAACACGAUAUGCGGUUCACAGCAGGCAUCUAACGUGAACGAAAUGUGAAGGAGAAGGAUGGGG